CUUAAUAAACUUCCUAAAAUCAAAGUACUAGACCCAUAAGAGGCUCCUGAACUUACCAAAAACACUCUACGACUACUGACUCUGCCAGUGAACGUCACUCUUCCUGGCCCUUGUUCUUCUCUGUAACCCGCGGUAUGGCUGGGGUGAGAGUGAAAGUGGAAGAAACGGUGGCAUGUGGAGCUGGUUCGUCAUCUUCGCCUUCAUCUUCUGCUUCGAGUCUCUCUCCUCGCCCUAUGGAGGGGCUGCACGAGAUGGGGCCUCCUCCAUUUCUUACCAAGACCUUUGAGAUGGUGGAAGACCCAUCCACCGACCCUGUUGUUUCUUGGAGCCGUGCUCGUAACAGCUUCAUUGUCUGGGACUCUCACAAGUUCUCCACCACCAUUCUUCCUCGCUACUUCAAGCACGGCAACUUUUCCAGCUUCAUUCGCCAGCUCAACACAUAUGGAUUUAGAAAAGUUGAUCCUGAUCGCUGGGAAUUUGCAAACGAAGGGUUUUUGAGUGGACAGAAGCACUUAUUGAAGACAAUCAAGAGAAGAAGAAAUGUGUCGCAGAGUGUACAGCAAGAACGGGGUGUUGCUUGUGUUGAAGUGGGGCAAUACGGAUUUGAAGGCGAGCUCGACAGGCUGAGGAGAGACAGGACGGUGAUCAUGACCGAAAUUGUGAAAUUGAGACAGCAGCAGCAGAAUUCGCGGGCGCAACUGAUUGCGAUGGAGGAAAGAUUACAGUCCACGGAGAAGAAACAGCAACAGAUCCUCACUUUCCUUGCCAAAGCACUGAACAACCCCACUUUUAUACAACAAUUUGCCCAGAGAAACGCCCAAAACAAAGAAUUACUUGGUGUUGAUAUGAGGCGAAAGAGGAGACUAACUGCUAGCCCGAGUGUGGAGAAUUUACAGGAUGAUUCUGUGACGGUGGCAGUGCCUAGUGAACCAGUGGUGGACUAUUCCACAAAUGAAGAGGAAGAACUGGCAACGAUAGAAUCUGAGAUAGAGACUUUUUUCUCAGCUCCUCACGAUAAUGAGUCAAGCAGUGACAAGAAAGAGCCAGCAUCAAGUUCAAUUCCUACAGCUAGCGGGAGCAACCUGGGUUCAGUGAGUGACGCAAUUUGGGAGGACUUGCUGAACGAAGACUUAGUUCACGGCAAUCCGGAGGAGGAAAUCAUAUUUGGUGAGCAGUCCCAAACCGAUGCUGCAGUGGAAGAGUUGAUAGGAAAGUCUGAUGAGUGGGCUGACGGCCUAGAGGACUUAGUAGAUCAAUUGGGUUAUCUUGGGUCCAAGCCCCAGUAAAUAUGAAGUGGUUCAUUUUUAUCAGUUUGGCCUCUGCAAUUCCAUUGUCCGUUCCCUGCUUAACUAGUGCAGGGAAAAUGGGGUAGCUGCUGCAGAGGCCAUCACAUACUGCUGUUUUAUCUGUAUCCUUAUAAAUCAACCUAGGCGUUUGAAUAUUUGUUGUGCUUAACUGCUUAUUACGAUUGAUUCCCUUUCCCUUGUUGUUAACUACAUGGUGACUUUUGCAGGCUUGUGUCCACAAGGAGACGAAGUUGUGUAGUCCUGCCUAGGAUCACUGCUUGCAUUCUUUCUGGGUUUACCGUUUUGGCAUGGGGGAAUUGGAAGCUUCAGUUACUUGUGCAUGACGUAAACUGCUACUUCGUAAGAGAAAUAAUCUGGAACAUUCUUUGGCUUGCUACAUGCAUUGCAUACUGUAUUAUAUGGUCAUUAUUUGUAUAGAAGUGGAUGGACAAUAAUAUUCACAAUCCAUCAUGUUGUAUCAAGAAAGAUUUCUUGAUUAACAAGUUUGAUGAGUCGAUUUUGCUAUUGACCCGA
Molecule: RNA transcript, 1820 nt
Organism: Neltuma alba
Lineage: Eukaryota; Viridiplantae; Streptophyta; Magnoliopsida; Fabales; Fabaceae
Gene name: heat shock factor protein HSF30
Exons: 3
Source: RefSeq, a predicted model, not a curated record